This 87-nucleotide transfer RNA is filed under the name Candidatus Omnitrophota bacterium. RNAcentral describes it as "Candidatus Omnitrophica bacterium tRNA-Leu". It matches the Rfam family "tRNA". From Rfam's summary of the family: Transfer RNA (tRNA) molecules are approximately 80 nucleotides in length. Their secondary structure includes four short double-helical elements and three loops (D, anti-codon, and T loops). The record is from RNAcentral. Lineage: Bacteria; Pseudomonadati; Candidatus Omnitrophota.
GCCGGGGUGGCGGAACUGGUAGACGCGCCGGUCUCAAAAACCGGUGAUUUCACAAUCAUGCGGGUUCGAUUCCCACCCCCGGCACCA